Fukomys damarensis (Damara mole-rat) is the source of this 409-nucleotide long non-coding RNA. RefSeq lists it as uncharacterized. The record is from RefSeq and is a predicted model, not a curated record. NCBI's taxonomy places the organism in Eukaryota, Metazoa, Chordata, Mammalia, Rodentia, Bathyergidae. The transcript is spliced from 4 exons.
GAGACCAAGCAUCUAAAUGGAGUUUAUGUCAACCAGUGUCCUCUGAAUAGUGCCAAGACGACAAAUGAGUGGACUUGUUUUGCCACCCUUGGAACAACAAGCAUGUUCCAGUCUGCCAUGGAUUGGUGAAGUUCAAUAGGAUCUGCGUCUUGAGCUUAUUUUUACCGCUGCUCUUCUGGACAAGAAACAGCAGAAAAAAGAGUGGAGGCUAUGGGCCUAGAGAGUGGAGAAUGUGUGGGGAGCGGUUGUUGGAUCCAAGGACUUGUCCAGAAAUGAAGCUCGUGAGUGUGGAGUUUUGAUCCGAGGAUUCAGAGAUGAAGACGGUACUACCCUUGAAGAAUUUACAAUCUAGUAAGAGAGAGAAGAUGGCUACCUAAGUUGGCAACAAUAAGCGUUUCUGAACUGACAC